AGCUCCAAUAGCGUAUAUUAAAGUUGUUGCAGUUAAAAAGCUCGUAGUUGGAUUUCUGGGUAGAGCGACCGGUCCGCCGCUGUGCGGUGUGUACUUGUGUUCGACUCUACUCAUCCUUGUGGGGAAACGCAUUACGGCAUUAAGUUGUCGUGGCGGGGAACCGCAUCAUUUACUGUGAAAAAAUUAGAGUGUUUAAAGCAGGCAAAUCGCUGUGAAUACAUUAGCAUGGAAUAAUAACAUAGGACUUUGGUUCUAUUUUGUUGGUUGGAGGCCAAGGUAAUGAUUAAUAGGGAUAGUUGGGGGUAUUCAUAUUUAAUUGUCAGAGGUGAAAUUCUUGGAUUUAUGAAAGAUGAACUCAUGCGAAAGCAUUUACCAAGGAUGUUUUCA
This 387-nucleotide ribosomal RNA is filed under the name uncultured eukaryote. RNAcentral's name for it is "SSU rRNA". It matches the Rfam family "Eukaryotic small subunit ribosomal RNA", at positions 587 to 972 of the family's 1831-position model. The record is from RNAcentral.